GACGGAAGGUGCAAGCGUUGCUCGGAAUCACUGGGCGUAAAGGGUGCGUAGGCGGCUUCUUAAGUCUGGUGUGAAAGCCCAGGGCUCAGCUCUGGAAGUGCACUAGAUACUGGGAAGCUUGAGUACCGGAGGGGAGAGUGGAAUUCCUGGUGUAGCGGUGAAAUGCGUAGAUAUCAGGAGGAAUACCGGUGGCGAAAGCGACUCUCUGGACGGUUACUGACGCUGAGAAGCGAAAGCAUGGGGAGCGAACAGG
This 253-nucleotide ribosomal RNA is filed under the name uncultured bacterium. RNAcentral's name for it is "partial 16S ribosomal RNA". It matches the Rfam family "Bacterial small subunit ribosomal RNA", at positions 524 to 776 of the family's 1533-position model. The record is from RNAcentral.